UCGACAUCAUCGUAGACGUGGACUUAAAAGCGGAAGUCAGGUUUGAGGACUAUUUUGCGGCCGGCGUCCACAUCAGAAUGCAAGUGUGCAAGAGUGAAUUCAUAAUCGCAAGGAUCACCUGCCCUUCGCACUUGUUGGUGAAAAAAGUGAGGCCCGUUGUAACGACCAUCCUUGCAGCAUCAUUCCAGAAGACGCUGUGCAGAGUGGUGGAAAUGGUCAUCAACGUGGCGAGGGUCGAUUUUCUAUACACUGCCAACGGUGAGUUUCU
Molecule: long non-coding RNA, 268 nt
Organism: Lacerta agilis (Sand lizard)
Lineage: Eukaryota; Metazoa; Chordata; Lepidosauria; Squamata; Lacertidae
Exons: 3
Source: RefSeq, a predicted model, not a curated record